UACGUAGGGACCAAGCGUUGUUCGGAUUUACUGGGCGUAAAGGGCGCGUAGGCGGCGUGGUAAGUCACUUGUGAAAUCUCCGAGCUUAACUCGGAACGGUCAAGUGAUACUGCUGUGCUAGAGUACAGAAGGGGCAAUCGGAAUUCUUGGUGUAGCGGUGAAAUGCGUAGAUAUCAAGAGGAACACCUGAGGUGAAGACGGGUUGCUGGGCUGAUACUGACGCUGAGGCGCGAAAGCGUGGGGAGCAAACAGG
Molecule: ribosomal RNA, 253 nt
Filed under: uncultured bacterium
Lineage: Bacteria
Description: partial 16S ribosomal RNA
Rfam family: Bacterial small subunit ribosomal RNA
Source: RNAcentral